Molecule: transfer RNA, 71 nt
Filed under: Ictidomys tridecemlineatus (thirteen-lined ground squirrel)
Lineage: Eukaryota; Metazoa; Chordata; Mammalia; Rodentia; Sciuridae
Description: Spermophilus tridecemlineatus (thirteen-lined ground squirrel) tRNA
Rfam family: tRNA
About the family: Transfer RNA (tRNA) molecules are approximately 80 nucleotides in length. Their secondary structure includes four short double-helical elements and three loops (D, anti-codon, and T loops).
Source: Rfam by way of RNAcentral
UGGAGUAUCACUCAGUGGUAGAGUGCUUACCUGACAGGUGAAAGGCCCUGGGUUCAAUCCUAGUACUGCAU